Molecule: ribosomal RNA, 404 nt
Filed under: Candidatus Odyssella sp.
Lineage: Bacteria; Pseudomonadati; Pseudomonadota; Alphaproteobacteria; Holosporales; Candidatus Paracaedibacteraceae
Description: bacterial SSU rRNA
Rfam family: Bacterial small subunit ribosomal RNA
Source: RNAcentral
GGGGAAUAUUGGACAAUGGGGGAAACCCUGAUCCAGCAAUGCCGCGUGAGUGAUGAAGGCCUUCGGGCUGUAAAGCUCUUUUGUCAGGGACGAUGAUGACGGUACCUGACGAAUAAGCUCCGGCUAACUUCGUGCCAGCAGCCGCGGUAAUACGAGGGGAGCUAGCGUUGUUCGGAAUUACUGGGCGUAAAGGGCGUGUAGGCGGUACCAUAAGUCAGAUGUGAAAGCCCUGGGCUUAACCUAGGAUGUGCAUUUGAUACUGUGGAACUAGAGAUCGAGAGAGGAAAGUGGAAUUACGAGUGUAGAGGUGAAAUUCGUAGAUAUUCGUAAGAACACCAGUGGCGAAGGCGACUUUCUGGCUCGAUACUGACGCUAAGGCGCGAAAGCGUGGGGAGCAAACAGGA